RNAcentral lists this ribosomal RNA (1395 nucleotides) under uncultured bacterium. RNAcentral's name for it is "bacterial SSU rRNA". It matches the Rfam family "Bacterial small subunit ribosomal RNA". The record is from RNAcentral.
AGAGUCUGUUCCUGGCUCAGAUUGAACGCUGGCGGCAGGCCUAACACAUGCAAGUCGAGCGGUAGAGAGAAGCUUGCUUCUCUUGAGAGCGGCGGACGGGUGAGUAAUGCCUAGGAAUCUGCCUGGUAGUGGGGGAUAACGUUCGGAAACGGACGCUAAUACCGCAUACGUCCUACGGGAGAAAGCAGGGGACCUUCGGGCCUUGCGCUAUCAGAUGAGCCUAGGUCGGAUUAGCUAGUUGGUGAGGUAAUGGCUCACCAAGGCGACGAUCCGUAACUGGUCUGAGAGGAUGAUCAGUCACACUGGAACUGAGACACGGUCCAGACUCCUACGGGAGGCAGCAGUGGGGAAUAUUGGACAAUGGGCGAAAGCCUGAUCCAGCCAUGCCGCGUGUGUGAAGAAGGUCUUCGGAUUGUAAAGCACUUUAAGUUGGGAGGAAGGGCAGUAAAUUAAUACUUUGCUGUUUUGACGUUACCGACAGAAUAAGCACCGGCUAACUCUGUGCCAGCAGCCGCGGUAAUACAGAGGGUGCAAGCGUUAAUCGGAAUUACUGGGCGUAAAGCGCGCGUAGGUGGUUUGUUAAGUUGGAUGUGAAAUCCCCGGGCUCAACCUGGGAACUGCAUUCAAAACUGACUGACUAGAGUAUGGUAGAGGGUGGUGGAAUUUCCUGUGUAGCGGUGAAAUGCGUAGAUAUAGGAAGGAACACCAGUGGCGAAGGCGACCACCUGGACUAAUACUGACACUGAGGUGCGAAAGCGUGGGGAGCAAACAGGAUUAGAUGCCCUGGUAGUCCACGCCGUAAACGAUGUCAACUAGCCGUUGGAAGCCUUGAGCUUUUAGUGGCGCAGCUAACGCAUUAAGUUGACCGCCUGGGGAGUACGGCCGCAAGGUUAAAACUCAAAUGAAUUGACGGGGGCCCGCACAGGCGGUGGAGCAUGUGGUUUAAUUCGAAGCAACGCGAAGAACCUUACCAGGCCUUGACAUCCAAUGAACUUUCUAGAGAUAGAUUGGUGCCUUCGGGAACAUUGAGACAGGUGCUGCAUGGCUGUCGUCAGCUCGUGUCGUGAGAUGUUGGGUUAAGUCCCGUAACGAGCGCAACCCUUGUCCUUAGUUACCAGCACGUAAUGGUGGGCACUCUAAGGAGACUGCCGGUGACAAACCGGAGGAAGGUGGGGAUGACGUCAAGUCAUCAUGGCCCUUACGGCCUGGGCUACACACGUGCUACAAUGGUCGGUACAGAGGGUUGCCAAGCCGCGAGGUGGAGCUAAUCCCAUAAAACCGAUCGUAGUCCGGAUCGCAGUCUGCAACUCGACUGCGUGAAGUCGGAAUCGCUAGUAAUCGCGAAUCAGAAUGUCGCGGUGAAUACGUUCCCGGGCCUUGUACUCACCGCCCGUC